GCCUGUUUAUCAAAAACAUGGCUCUUUGUAAAAAAUAAAUAGAGAGUCGGACCUGCCCGGUGAUAAUUUUUAACGGCCGCGGUACCCUGACCGUGCAAAGGUAGCAUAAUCAUUUGCCUUGUAAUUUAAGGCUAGUAUGAAGGGUUUGACAAGAAUAUAACUGUCUCCUUUUGGUUUAAUAGAAUUUUACUUGUAAGUGAAGAGGCUUACGUUUAAUUAAUAGACAAGAAGACCCUAUCGAGCUUUAAAGCAAUUAGUAGAAGAAUAAAUAUAAUGUUAAAAUUACAUCUACUAAAAAUUUUGGUUGGGGCGACUAAGGAACAAAUAAAGCUUCCUUAAUAAAUUUAACAUACAUGUAAAGAUCCAGAAAAUUCUGAUUAAAGGAAAUAGUUACCGUAGGGAUAACAGCAUUAUCUUUUUUGAGAGCUCUUAUCGAAAAAAAGGUUUGUGACCUCGAUGUUGGACCAGAAUAUCCCAAAGGUGCAGUAGCCUUUAAAGGUUGGUCUGUUCGACCAUUAAAAUUCUACGUGAUCUGAGUUCA
RNAcentral lists this ribosomal RNA (541 nucleotides) under Costapex sp. n. MNHN-IM-2013-4814. RNAcentral's name for it is "partial 16S ribosomal RNA". It matches the Rfam family "Bacterial large subunit ribosomal RNA", at positions 1798 to 2613 of the family's 2925-position model. Lineage: Eukaryota; Metazoa; Mollusca; Gastropoda; Neogastropoda; Costellariidae. The record is from RNAcentral.